CCAACUGGACGGAGACUGCGCUGGCUCCAUGUGCUGCGCACGGCAUCACGGCGAAAUGAUCUGCAAGAAGAGGUUAACCUUUGGCAUGGAUUGCUAUGUACCCGACGGUGGGCUGGCCUACAGCAUCAACCAGCUCUGCCCCUGUGACACGGGGCUCGUGUGCAGGAGCGGCAGGGUCACACGAGAGAAAGAGUUUGAUUACUGGGGAUACACCAACAGCUGGCAAUGCCUAAACCCAUCCUUGCCCUGACCAACCAACACCGACGGCCCACAGUUGUAUGUUUUAACGUUGUAAAUACCUGAUGUAAUAUAAUCCUAAUAAAUAGAACAGUUCAAAUGAUUCAAUGUAAAUAAUGACUGGUCGCAACACCAGUGUUGAUGAAUGUAAUAAAAUCCUGUACAGUAUCGACAAUGCCCAUUGCUCCUGGAACACUAUUUGCCCCAACGGCAGACUCGCCAUUCAUUGCCUGAACGGCUGUUCCAUGUGUGAACAUUUUAGGACGACUAACCUCACUAGAGAUGAAACAGUGAGUGAAGUUUGUAUGGAAGGACACACACACACACACACACACACAGUGCUGGAGUAACUCAGGGGGUUAGGCACCAUCUCUGGAGAACAUGGAUAGGUGACGUUUCAGGUCGGGACCUUUCUUCAGACCGAUUGUGGUGGGGUUGGUGGGGCUGGGUCUGGGUGAGUUAGGAGGAGUAGGAGGGAGAGAGGAGAGGCAGGACGGGGUGGGAGAUUGCAACCUUCACGUGGUCCGCCCUGUUUUGACGAAUGCAAUCAACCCGGCGUGCACAAUCAAAUAGAACAAGUUGUCCUUCAACUUUAGGCUGUGCAUGUCCUACGCAAGAAGAAGAAGGAGCAGGAUAAAAUGUGGCAAUAGCUGAACACAGGCAAGAGGGUAGGGGUGCCACCAUGUGUGCAGGCUGGCAGUAGACAAGACUAUUUGGUGACAUUUUGUAACUUUGCCACGUUUUGGUGCCGACAACACUUGUGAGCUGCUGAGGUGAGGUCUCCCUAUUCAUUGCCACUCCCAUUCAAGGCUUUGGAGGCAGUCAAUGGAUAUUUUUAAGGCAGAGAUAGAUUCUUCAUUAGUCCGGGUGGGUGUCAGGGGUUAUGGGGAGAAAGGAAGAGAAUGGAGUUAGGAGGGAGAGAUAGAUCAGCCAUGAUUGAAUGAUGGAGUAGACUUGAUGGGCCGAAUGGCAGAAUUCUGUCCCUACCACUUGAGAACUGCACGAUGUCACUGGGCUGUAUGCAAAGCAAAUCAUUUCACUGUACCUAGGUACACCCAACAACAAAAUAAUAGAAUCAUUUAUAAUAACUUCAGAUUUUGCUUUGUGAAGAAAAAUUACCCAAAGACACAAAAUAAAACAUCCAUUGAAAAAAAAAAAAAAUUCACAAAAAAUUUAUUUAAAACACAUGCGGUAACACAUGUCCUUGGAAUGAAAAAUGUUUCUCAAUGUACAGUUUACACAGAAGAGUGCACAAUGUUGUCAGUAACAUGACCGUUUGAAUACUCGCUCUCUUCCUCACUUCUGAGGAGAGUCCCCUGUUAAAUAUUAAUACUUAAAUAGAUUUUUUUUUUUU
Long non-coding RNA from Leucoraja erinaceus (little skate), 1591 nucleotides. RefSeq lists it as uncharacterized. The transcript has 2 exons. NCBI's taxonomy places the organism in Eukaryota, Metazoa, Chordata, Chondrichthyes, Rajiformes, Rajidae. The record is from RefSeq and is a predicted model, not a curated record.